This 207-nucleotide ribosomal RNA is filed under the name uncultured Bacillota bacterium. RNAcentral describes it as "uncultured Firmicutes bacterium partial 16S ribosomal RNA". It matches the Rfam family "Bacterial small subunit ribosomal RNA", at positions 568 to 774 of the family's 1533-position model. The record is from RNAcentral. Lineage: Bacteria; Bacillati; Bacillota.
CGCGUAGGCGGGGCAGCAAGUCAGAUGUGAAAACCAUGGGCUCAACUCAUGGCCUGCAUUUGAAACUGUUGUUCUUGAGUGUUGGAGAGGCAGGCGGAAUUCCGUGUGUAGCGGUGAAAUGCGUAGAUAUACGGAGGAACACCAGUGGCGAAGGCGGCCUGCUGGACAAUAACUGACGCUGAUGCGCGAAAGCGUGGGGAGCAAACA